GUCUUGUACUCACCGCCCGUCAAUUCAAGGGAGCCGGGAAUACUCGAAAUCUCUCCAGAAGGAGGGCCUACAGUAAGCUCGGUGACAGGGAAUAAGUCGUAACAAGGCACGGGUAGCGGAAGCUGUUCGUGGAAUA
This 136-nucleotide ribosomal RNA is filed under the name Candidatus Nomurabacteria bacterium. RNAcentral's name for it is "partial 16S ribosomal RNA". It matches the Rfam family "Bacterial small subunit ribosomal RNA", at positions 1378 to 1525 of the family's 1533-position model. The record is from RNAcentral. Lineage: Bacteria; Candidatus Nomuraibacteriota.